GGCGCCUCUUCGCUUUUCUAUCUUCAGUGACCUUCGCGUGCCGGCGUGCGUCGGGAUUAAAGAAAGGGGUGUAGGUCAGGGGUGGAGAAGGGAGUCGCGGCGUGAGUGGUUCAGUUGUAGCUAGGGGUAGCGGGGCGUAGUAGCGGCGGGCCACGGCAGCGGAACCUAGGGGGUGGGCGUGGUAGCGGCGGGCCGGCCACGGCAGCGGGGGUCGGGGAAGCAGGUCAUGGCGCGGCGGGGGAGAGAGAGAGCAGCGAGGAGGAGAGGGGGCUAGACCUAGACCUCCCUCUCGCGGACCAGCGGCGGGAUGGAAGAGAUGGGCAGCGAGGGGUGGAGAGGAGGGAGGGUGACACGGACGGAGGUACUCGAGGCCGGAGAGGGGUCGGCCGCUGCGGGGAAAGGAAGGUGUCGGUUGCUGCUGGUUAGCAGAGGCUGCUCGGCGGCACCAGACGGGAGGAGGAUGAACUCAGUCUAGGCCGGUGGGGUCGGAGCCUAGGCCGGUGGGGUCGGAGCGUUGGCCGUAGGUGGCGGGUGGACGUACGGAGCAGCAGCAUCCUGUGGCGGUCCUAACAACUCGACGACGAGGAACACGACGACAACUACACAACACAACUAACCCACGAAUGGCAACCCCUCGUACCGUAGACCCUCGGUUUAUAGUAGCCUCAUACCUCUAAACCCUCGCCUUCGCCUAAACUAGCCCCCAGUGGCACUUCUCUCACGAAGGAACCGAGCGAUGGUUUCCUUUUACCAGACGAAAACGUGGGGUGUUCAAAUAUCUACAUACAAAACACUCGAUUUUCCUGGAUAACCAUCUUAGAUUGAGCCAAAAACCUAAAAUUAUAGAUAGACUACUUAAUCGUGAGAUCCUACCUUAGUCAAAGAUUGACUUUGAUCUACAAUACAAACCACUACAAUAUGACCUCUGUACUUGGAUGUUUACAUACAUACAUAUGUACUACCUAACAACAGGAAAACCGACACUACAUCAUGACCUGAACACUUGGACAUACAUACGACACUACGUCAUGAUCUGAGCACUUGGAUGUUUACAUAUGUAUACAUACAUACGUACGUCUGUACUACAUAACAACUCUAUAUAUAAUACUACGUUGAACUUAAUGA
This 1125-nucleotide ribosomal RNA is filed under the name Triticum aestivum (bread wheat). RNAcentral's name for it is "partial small subunit ribosomal RNA". The record is from RNAcentral. Lineage: Eukaryota; Viridiplantae; Streptophyta; Magnoliopsida; Poales; Poaceae.